RNAcentral lists this unclassified non-coding RNA (231 nucleotides) under Hevea brasiliensis (rubber tree). Lineage: Eukaryota; Viridiplantae; Streptophyta; Magnoliopsida; Malpighiales; Euphorbiaceae. The record is from RNAcentral.
AAAUGAUAAAAUUGGUCUUGAGAAGGAAUCACAGCUAAAAUCCAGGCCAACAAAGAGUGGAAAGACAAUCGAACUAGAUGAUGUCACCUUUCAUCAAUGUGUCAAUUUGACGAGGUUCAACUCAGAAAAGACAGUUAGCUUUGUGCCCCCUGACGGAGAAUUUGAAUUGAUGAAGUAUCGAAUUACUGAAGGUGUAAAUCUUCCAUUUCGAGUGUUACCAACAAUCAAGGA